Molecule: ribosomal RNA, 482 nt
Filed under: uncultured bacterium
Lineage: Bacteria
Description: partial 16S ribosomal RNA
Rfam family: Bacterial small subunit ribosomal RNA
Source: RNAcentral
GACGAACGCUGGCGGCGUGCUUAACACAUGCAAGUCGAACGAUGAAGAAGAGAAACGCGAACUUCGGUUCAACUUUCACUUCGGAUUAGUGGCAGACGGGUGAGUAACGCGUGAGCAACCUACCUCUUACAAAGGGACAGCCUCGGGAAACCGUGAUUAAUACCAUAUGACACAUUCAUAAGGCAUCUUAAGAAUGUUAAAGCUACGGCGGUAAGAGAUGGGCUCGCGUCCCAUUAGCUAGUUGGUGAGGUAACGGCCCACCAAGGCGACGAUGGGUAACCGGCCUGAGAGGGUGAACGGUCACAUUGGAACUGAGACACGGUCCAAACUCCUACGGGAGGCAGCAGUGGGGAAUAUUGCACAAUGGAGGGAACUCUGAUGCAGCGACGCCGCGUGAGCGAUGAAGGAAUUCGUUUCGUAAAGCUCUGUUCUAUGGGAAGAAAAGGACUGUACCAUAGGAGAAAGCCCCGGCUAAAUACGUG